Molecule: transfer RNA, 73 nt
Filed under: Atta cephalotes
Lineage: Eukaryota; Metazoa; Arthropoda; Insecta; Hymenoptera; Formicidae
Rfam family: tRNA
About the family: Transfer RNA (tRNA) molecules are approximately 80 nucleotides in length. Their secondary structure includes four short double-helical elements and three loops (D, anti-codon, and T loops).
Source: Rfam by way of RNAcentral
UUCUCAGUGAUUUAAUGGCUUAAGACGCUUGUAUGGAAUACAAGAGAUCCGGGUAUAAGUCCUGGCUGAGAUA